Molecule: transfer-messenger RNA, 353 nt
Filed under: Actinomycetota bacterium
Lineage: Bacteria; Bacillati; Actinomycetota
Rfam family: transfer-messenger RNA
About the family: Bacterial tmRNA, also known as 10Sa RNA or SsrA, is named for its dual tRNA and mRNA-like properties. Its role is to liberate the mRNA from a stalled ribosome.
Source: RNAcentral
GGGGGCGUACCGGUUUCGACGUGAGCGGUCAGCGUCCUGCGAGACGAGCCGAGUUUGCUGGAGACUCGUAAAACGCCGGCACAAAAACACACGCCGACGAUAUGGAGUUGGCGGCUGCCUAAAUAAAGGCAGCCCAUCGGUCCGGGCGGCCCACGGCCCGGUUCCCGGUGUCAUCUUAGUGGGCUAACCCCGCAGGCCCUGGCCCAGGGUCUGUGGGGGACACACAGAGGGCUAGCCCCUCCGCGGCGCCCCGGUCUGCGGAGGUCGGUGAAAACAAUACCGGGUGCUACGCUCGUACAAUCUCGCGGACGGCGCGCUCGCGGACGCGGGUUCGAAUCCCGCCGCCUCCACUA